UACGGAGGGUGCCAGCGUUAUCCGGAAUUACUGGGUUUAAAGGGUGCGUAGGCGGUUGUGUAAGUCGUGGGUGAAAUUUUGCAGCUUAACUGUGAGAUGUCCUAUGAAACUGCACAACUUGAAUCAGAUAGAGGUUAGUGGAAUGCGGCAUGUAGCGGUGAAAUGCAUAGAUAUGCCGUGGAACACCGAUUGCGAAGGCAGCUAACUGGGUCUUGAUUGACGCUGAGUCACGAAAGCGUGGGGAGCAAACAGG
Molecule: ribosomal RNA, 253 nt
Filed under: uncultured bacterium
Lineage: Bacteria
Description: partial 16S ribosomal RNA
Rfam family: Bacterial small subunit ribosomal RNA
Source: RNAcentral